RNAcentral lists this ribosomal RNA (311 nucleotides) under uncultured bacterium. Its description in RNAcentral is "bacterial SSU rRNA". It matches the Rfam family "Bacterial small subunit ribosomal RNA", at positions 29 to 334 of the family's 1533-position model. The record is from RNAcentral.
AACGAACGCUGGCGGCAGGCCUAAUACAUGCAAGUCGAACGAGAAAGCUCUUCGGAGUGAGUAUAGUGGCGCACGGGUGAGUAACACGUAGGUGACCUACCUUUUAGUGGGGAAUAACAGGGAGAAAUUCCUGCUAAUACCGCAUACGUUAAGUGACUUUGGAAGGAACUUAAUAAAGGGGGCUUCGGCUCCCGCUGAAAGAUGGGCCUGCGGGUCAUUAGCUUGAUGGUGGGGUAAUGGCCUACCAUGGCAACGAUGACUAGCUGGUCUGAGAGGAUGAUCAGCCACACUGGAACUGAGACACGGUCCAG